This 324-nucleotide long non-coding RNA is filed under the name Malus domestica (apple). Its description in RNAcentral is "long non-coding RNA (MDOM_LNC002231)". Lineage: Eukaryota; Viridiplantae; Streptophyta; Magnoliopsida; Rosales; Rosaceae. The record is from RNAcentral.
CUCUGUAGUCUAACUUCAUUAGAUUACUUCUUCAAUCGAUUCAUUGUCCAUGGAUUCACUAUUUAUGACUUAUAUCGUUUAUAGAGAUAGUCCUAAUUAGUAUCUUUGCCAUUUGAUGUAUAAGGUUCAUCUAUACAUCCAUUCAUUGUCCUGAAAGGUUUCUUCCAAAGAUUGACUUUCAGGGCAUAUUUCCAACAAUCUCCCACUUGCACUAAAGUCAAUCAUUAGUGUAUCUUAUACAUGCUAGUUGAGUGAGCUUAUGCUCAUAGGUUAACUUGGAUAUGCAUUAAUCCCUUUUAUUUAAAAGGGAUUUACUUAUCAAAU